Panicum virgatum (switchgrass) is the source of this 2372-nucleotide long non-coding RNA. RefSeq lists it as uncharacterized. The transcript has 5 exons. The record is from RefSeq and is a predicted model, not a curated record. NCBI's taxonomy places the organism in Eukaryota, Viridiplantae, Streptophyta, Magnoliopsida, Poales, Poaceae.
CCUUCCUCUCCUUGACUAGCUGCGCCAAAAGAUUUCUUCCGUUCACACACUGCAGUGCUAGGGAAGCCCAUCUUCCGGGAAAUUUCCGUCUUCCUCCCUCUCCUUCCCGAUAGUUCCUCUGAUGUCUCAAGCUCCGCCCUCUUCUCUGAGCUCGUCUUGCGGUCCUCGUGGCUCACGGCGGCAGCCUCGCCUCGCCUCGCCGCCUGCCGUCGCGCAGUCCGCGCGCCCACCUCCUCCUGCACAGUUGCGGCCUCUGCUCCGUCGCCCGGAUGCCCAGUUCCGUGCUCCAGCCCCGGCCCAGUUGACGACCUGGACCCGCAGUUGUUUGGCGUGCCCUGCUGCGCCUCGCCUCAUCGCCUGCCGCCGCGCAGUCCACACGCCCACCUCCUCCUGCGCGGUUGCGGCCUCUGCUUCGCCGCCCGGAUACCCAGUUCCGUGCUCCAGCCCCGGCCCAGUCGACGACCCGGACCCGCACCUUCUCGGCGCGCCCUGCUGCGUGCACACCGCACAGCGACUUCCGCGGGCCGCGACCAUACCUCUGCGUCGCAGUGGGAGAGUUCGCCGCCGCUGCCAUCGCCUAGGUACACGACGAGUUUGCCACUGUGCUGUGCCCACGCGUGAACCGAUGGUUGUCGCCUUUACGCGCCCACAAGCUAGGUGUAAUCUCCCUGUGCGCCGUCGCCGCCGUGAUGGGCAGGCCACAAGGAAUUCCGCGCCACACCCACUGUCGUGGCUGCGUCCGCCUCAUCGGCCAUGUUCUCCUACACACCGUCGCCCUCUGCAGCUGACGCCUCGACGCCGUAUGUGGUCGGCGACCAUAUCUGGCCGGGGGAUCCUGCUUCGCUUGGCUUCUAUGGUAAGUUCUUCCUCUUUCUUACUACUACUGUCGCUUUCUCCUUUGUUUCCUCUUUCACUUCUUCUUUCUAUGAUAUGAGGAUCCAUUCGAUUGGCUGCUCCUAUGUAGCUCGAACAUUGAUUCAGGCGCUCUGCAACGUGUGUUUCAUGCCCAUAUCUUUGGAUGCUCAGAUCGAGUUUCCGUCCUUUCGAUUUUGCUUGUGCUCAUGCGGUUUCCAAUUACUCCCCCCCACCCUCCUUCUAUGUUCUUUUCUUUUUUAUAACAGAUUCUUCACAUCUAGAUUGGUUUUGUAUUUUCUUCUUUCUUUGAUUUCAAUCUCGAUCUGAUGUUUCUCCUCAUUGUGCCUUCUUCCAAUUUCUCCUUAGAGUUUUUCCAAAGAUUAAGUUACAGAAUAUGGUCUUCCCAUUUCUUCCCUCUUUCUGCAAUGGAAUCCGAGGUACCCCUCUCUCUAGGAAAUCCAAUGGUAUUCCAGCAAAACUUCUUUUUAAGCACUGAAAGGGAUUUUACAGAUCCUCUGCCGCAAAUUUGUUGUUUCCCCCCACUUAUGUGGCUGACUGCAUAAAUACAGAAGUUUUUGGCAUCCCCGACCUCGUUCUGUUAUUACUGCCAUUAAAAGAAGAAUGCUAAAUUUCAUUUCCCAGCUUAUGCAAAGGUAUGUUAUGCUUCUUUCAUUUCCCAAAGUCUACCAUCUCUUCGAUCUUUCCAAAGAAACCAGAAAGCGCAAGCACAUGAAAAUGAAAUCCAGGAGCUUCAAUCGGCUGCAGAGAAGGCCAAAACCCCUGCUCAACUUCACAACAACAAAGAAGGUGGUGUAUGCAAGGUGAACAAAGAAACUGGAUAUAAUCUUUGUGAUCAGACUUCGUCGUGUGCUCCGAUGAUUAGCGGACCGUUACCUCACCAAGCUACAUCUGUAGCUACUAUCACAGCAGGCCAAUAGCCAGGUCUGCCCAUCCCACAGCUCAUCAACAGAAUUGGAAGAAACCGAGCUACUGAGCUAUCCCUAACCAUAACUGCAGAAGACAACUCCCAGUUGCCUCUUGGAACUACUGAACAAGUUGAAGAAACAACUGGCUUUACUGCUCCAGUCAUGUUUCAGCUCCCUUCCCUUGAGAUGACAAUCCCAUUGGUGGACACUUUCCUCGCUUUGUCAGUUCAGAUCCCGUUCAGUUAUAUACCCGUGGAGAAAUGUCGUCUUUAUCCUUUGUCUACCCCAAACAGAAACAAGUUUGAAGGAAAGAGCGUCCAGGACCUUGAUGCUUCAAUUGAUUCCCCCUGUCGUACUAACAAUAAUCCAAACGAUUGAAGCUGUUGUGUUCCUAGCUGGACGCUACCUGGUGAUUCUAUGCCUGUUCCUUCGAAGAUUCUUUGCAAACUAUUAAACCAAGUAUCCUUUGUAGAUUGCAGAAUAGCUUGCUCCAAUGGAUGAAACAGGAUGACAAGAGCAAUCAUCUGUGGAAUCAGAUUUCGUCCAUUUUAAAAUGCCCUCUUGGACUACAUAUUGAGCAACUUAGCUUAC